AUUGAACGCUGGCGGCAGGCCUAACACAUGCAAGUCGAGCGGAUGAAGGGAGCUUGCUCCUGGAUUCAGCGGCGGACGGGUGAGUAAUGCCUAGGAAUCUGCCUGGUAGUGGGGGAUAACGUCCGGAAACGGGCGCUAAUACCGCAUACGUCCUGAGGGAGAAAGGGGGGGAUCUUCGGACCUCACGCUAUCAGAUGAGCCUAGGUCGGAUUAGCUAGUUGGUGGGGUAAAGGCCUACCAAGGCGACGAUCCGUAACUGGUCUGAGAGGAUGAUCAGUCACACUGGAACUGAGACACGGUCCAGACUCCUACGGGAGGCAGCAGUGGGGAAUAUUGGACAAUGGGCGAAAGCCUGAUCCAGCCAUGCCGCGUGUGUGAAGAAGGUCUUCGGAUUGUAAAGCACUUUAAGUUGGGAGGAAGGGCAGUAAGUUAAUACCUUGCUGUCUUGACGUUACCAACAGAAUAAGCACCGGCUAACUUCGUG
RNAcentral lists this ribosomal RNA (484 nucleotides) under uncultured bacterium. RNAcentral's name for it is "partial 16S ribosomal RNA". It matches the Rfam family "Bacterial small subunit ribosomal RNA", at positions 30 to 507 of the family's 1533-position model. The record is from RNAcentral.